RNAcentral lists this ribosomal RNA (483 nucleotides) under uncultured bacterium. RNAcentral describes it as "partial 16S ribosomal RNA". It matches the Rfam family "Bacterial small subunit ribosomal RNA", at positions 29 to 523 of the family's 1533-position model. The record is from RNAcentral.
AGUGAACGCUGGCGGCGUGCUUAACACAUGCAAGUCGAACGAAAACGGAUUAUAGCUUGCUAUAAUUGUCAGCUAGGUGGCGCACGGGUGAGUAAUGUAUAGGUAAUAUGCCUCUUACUAAGGAUAACAAAUGGAAACGUUUGCUAAUACCUUAUACUCCUUAUUAACAGAAGUUAAUAAGGGAAAGAUUUAUUGGUAAGAGAUUAGCCUGUAUUGUAUCAGUUAGUUGGUGGGGUAAUGGCUUACCAAGACUAUGACACAUAACUGGUUUGAGAGGAUGAUCAGUCACACUGGAACUGAGACACGGUCCAGACUCCUACGGGAGGCAGCAGUGGGGAAUAUUGCACAAUGGACGAAAGUCUGAUGCAGCAACGCCGCGUGGAGGAUGACACAUUUCGGUGCGUAAACUCCUUUUAUAUGAGAAGAUAAUGACGGUAUUAUAUGAAUAAGCACCGGCUAACUCCGUGCCAGCCGCCGCAGUAA